Dendrobium catenatum is the source of this 2523-nucleotide RNA transcript. It is a transcript of the gene named uridine nucleosidase 1, with no coding region annotated. The transcript has 7 exons. The record is from RefSeq and is a predicted model, not a curated record. NCBI's taxonomy places the organism in Eukaryota, Viridiplantae, Streptophyta, Magnoliopsida, Asparagales, Orchidaceae.
UGACAGUAUGACCAUCUUGAUGGCAUUUCAAACCCCAGAGAUAGAUGUUAUUGGUCUGACUACAAUAUUUGGUAAUGUCAGUACUGUGGAUGCUACUAGGAAUGCUUUACUUCUGUGUGAGAUUGCCGGCCGCCCUGAUGUUCCAGUUGCUGAAGGAGCUCACGAACCUCUAAAGAUGACUUCAGGAGAUGAUCGUCAAAGAGGAAUAAUAAAGAAUAUAUUUGGUAAGCGUAGCAAGAAGAUUACUGUUAGCUCAUCCAGCAGGUCUAUAAGUAUUGCGGGCACCUCUUCAUUUCAGCCAACUACUCAGAGUCAGCCUAGCCCACAGUUCUACUCACCAGACCCAUACUUACCUUCACCGGACCUUACGCAGACUACUCCUUUCUACCCCUACUUCCCACCACCACCUUCUCAUGGUGUCUAUCCUACAUAUCCGCCAUAUUCAUAUCCGUCAUAUGUCCCACCACCUGCUCAGCCCUCUACAGCACUACCUCAACUCGCUACAGCAUCACCUCAGCCCGUUACAGCACUACCUCAGCCCGCUACUGCACCACCUCAGCCCGUUGCAACAAAGCAGGCGACAGAGGGUCGCAUGUUGAUUGAACUUGACGGUUUCAUCCGUCAAAGAAGCCAAUGCAUAAAAUACGAGCAUAAUACGGAGCAGAUACGAUGCUCCUUAUAUUUCUUGGAAGAAAAUCUCAAAAGAAAAAGAAUUUUGAGAGGCGUGGCUCGACUCGCUUGCGAGACAUGUUUACUGAUAUUAAAAAGGCAGGCCAGCGACCACUCUGGAUUGACGAGGGUUAUGGGCAGAGUUGAGCAGUGCUUGGGGUAGCCCGGAUUAUACCAGGAGGGAUCAGAAUAGACAGAACAUAGCUUCUGAUUUUGGAGGCUUGGGUAGUUCCCUUCAUACAGGGGGUUCUGUUCCUCAUACUGAGCAUAAAAGACAUUUAAAAAAGGUGCUGGGUAAAUAACUGACUCCUGUUGAAUUGCAUAGUCAUAUCCAUAAGCGGCAGGAGGACCACCAAUGGGUUUACGAGCGAGCGAGGAAAGCUUAUGAGUACACACGACUUCGAGAAAAUUAGGCUACAGUAGGUGAAGGUUCUUCUGCUAGAUCAGCGGAAUAUUCUAACUAUCGCACUUGGCAGCAAGCGGCAGGAGGAAUGUAGCACGACAGAGUAUAUGGGUUAGGCUCGCAAGCUUAUGCAUAUGAAGGGCAGACAUCUAGUGGCUCCAGUUUUUCAUCUAAUACACAUGAUUCUUUAUAUAUCCAACAGAUAGCUGUCCUUAAAAUCAAGCUAGAACAGGUAAGGAAAGCACAAAAUGAUUGGCAAAUGUAAAUACAGCAGUAGUAGAUGCAUAUGCAGCAACAACAAGCUCAAAUGUUAGAAGAAAUGUGAAAGAUGAGGGAGUAGCUGAGUAGUCGGAGGAGUACAGCAUCAACUGAGGAUGGAACUGAAUCAGAGUAGAUGUUAUUUAUCUAUUUUACUGAUGUGGACAUCUGUUUCUAUAUGUUUUAUGUCAUGUUUAUAUGUGUUGUUUGAACAUCUUUUUUGUUAUGUUUAUAUGUGGACAUCUGUUUCUACAUGUUUAGUUAAUUAUUGUUUGGACAUGUUUGAUCAUGUAAUUGGUGAUGUUUUUUAUCAGAAUUUGAUGUAUAAAUGCAAAUUGUGUUGUUUAUGUGUUCUUUUAUGCAGGUUUUUUGUGGAAAUCACUUUUUAAAGAAAGGAAGGUUUUUUUCUUUAUGCUCCAGGUUUUCGACGGAAUAUCCGCCGGCGUCUCUGUCGGUACAACGAUACGGUGUUUUCGGUGGAUAUUAUCCGACGGUUACGAAUCGUCUUAUUAAUGAUGGAAGAUCCGCCGGUAUGAAAAAAGAAAAACACGAGAUGUCGAGAUUCACAUAUAUUUCGCCGGAAAUACUGUCAGAAAAUGUUUCCGGCGCAAAUUGUUAGCCGGAAAAAAUUUUCGACUAGCAAUAAACCGGCGGAGAGUUUUUCGCCUGAAAUCCGCCGGAAAGCAACAAUUUUUGGCCAUUUUCAUUGAUACCGGUGGAUUUAGUCCGCCGGUAUAGGCCUGUUUUCCUGUAGUGAACUGCCCUCGAAGAAGGGAGAAAAACUGUUUUCGGGAAAUGACAAAAGACUGCGCGAGGGUUGGGCGGUCCGAAUUGAACAAAUAUAUAUUAGGUUAGCAUUUUUUUUAAUUUUUAGAGGUGGACGCUGCUAAAUCUUGAGGCGAGGCGCGCCUUGAGGCGUGCCUUAGUAAACUUGAGGCAGGUCUCAAUAAACUUGAGGCGGGCCUCAGUAAACUUGAGGCGUACACUUCAAAUCCUUAACUCAUUGUGUGAGCUUUAAGGCUUAAAGGGGCGAAAUUGUGCUGAGGCGCGCCACUUAUUGCGCAAUUUUAAACCAUGAUUUAAACUAACUGUUAUUAAUCUUAAUUAAAUAAUUAUUUUUAAUAACGAUUAGUUAAUCAAUCCUAUCUAAUCACUUAUAAUUAUGAUUAAUCAUCAUUAAUUUUAAUUGAUUG